Molecule: ribosomal RNA, 467 nt
Filed under: uncultured bacterium
Lineage: Bacteria
Description: partial 16S ribosomal RNA
Rfam family: Bacterial small subunit ribosomal RNA
Source: RNAcentral
GACGAACGCUGGCGGCGUGCUUAACACAUGCAAGUCGAACGGAAAGGCCUCUUUAGGUGGGUGCUCGAGUGGCGAACGGGUGGGUGCCACGUGAGUAAUAUCCCCUUGACAUUGGGAUAAGUUCAGGAGAAUGGGGCUAAUACAGGAUAGGAGAUCCUGCUGCAUAGUGUGGGUUGGAAAGUUUCGGCGGUUGUGGGUGGGCUUGCGGCUUAUCAGCUUGUUGGUGUGGUAGUGGCAUACCAAGGCUUUGACGGGUAGCCGGCCCGAGAGGGUGACCGGCCACACUGGGACUGAGAGACGGCCCAGGCGCCGACUGUAGGGAGAAGGGGGGAAUACUGCACAAGCGGUGGAAGCCGGAUGCAGCAACGCCGCGGGCGGGAAGACGGCCUUCUGGUUGUAGACCGCGUGCUCUCAUAACUGAGCAUUGUGUGACGGUAGUGGGUAAAGAAGCACCGGCUAACUACGUG